Molecule: long non-coding RNA, 1835 nt
Organism: Canis lupus familiaris (dog)
Lineage: Eukaryota; Metazoa; Chordata; Mammalia; Carnivora; Canidae
Exons: 2
Source: RefSeq, a predicted model, not a curated record
ACACACACACACAGAGGCAGGGACACAGGUCGAGGGAGAAGCAGGCUCCUUGCGGGGGGCCGGACGUGGGACUCGAUCCGGGGACCUGGGAUCCCGCCCUGGGCGGAGGCAGACGCCCAGCCGCUCAGCCCCGGGCCGGAGCGUUUCUUAUGCAGGCGCUGCAUUCCGCCCCAUGAAAGGAAGCGGGAUGUAUCUUAGUUAAAUUGCAUACUCACCAUCGCCCUCGUUGGGGAUCUGCCUUCAGCUACAUUUCAUGUUUCCAAGGGAAGACCCCGCAGUCCAGGGAGCCCCGCCGCGCGGGCAUCAGCUGCUCAGCGGAGGAAGCCCCCCGCCCCCCAUGCGCACUGUCCCCCCACCCCGAGUCCAGGGCCCCUGCCGGAGCUCACCCGGGGGCCCGAGGCGCAGAGGCGGAAUGCAGCGGGGUUCUUGCGUGCUGCGCCGGGAGCCCGGCCGCGGGCGGCUGUCCCCACUGGUCCCCGGGAGCCUGCAGUGUCCACCCAACGACACGCUCCGCAGGGGCCCCUUGAACUUGAAUCCUUCCGUUGGUUCCCUGAUGAUACGUUCUUACUUUGGGCGUUGAGUCUUUUUUUCCCUCAGUGAUCCUGGACGUGAAGGGCUAAAUCCAGGGUUCUUUACAGGUAAGGACCCCAUUCUGUCCCCAGGGAGCCCUAACACGGACGGCCUCCGUUUCUCCCCCGGGCGCGUGGACCCCAGAUCGGCUCCCUCCGCCCUCACUUCGCGGCGUGUCCGAGGAACCGCCCACCGGUGAAAUCAAUUCCGCUUGCAAGUCUAGGAUGCAGGCUCGGGGGUUUGCGGGGUUUUAAGUUUUUAAAUUGAAGUGCUGAUUUUAACCCCAAGUUCCUCCCUCAGCAGAAAGUGCAGCCACUUUUAUUCAUCUAUUUAUUUUUGCCUGUGUCAGUUGGCCUAGGCCAGCAAUGCUCCCGGCCCCAGACCCACGGAGGGGUGGGUAGUUGAGAAAUGAAGGAAUCCCAGCAGCUCCGGGCCCUCGGCUCCAUCAUGGGCCUUCAGGAGCCCCAGAGGAAAGGAGGAAGCAGAAGAAUGUUCCGAUUCAAGGGCCGCCAAUAUAAACCUGGAUCUUCAGGGAGCAACGAAAUCGAAGAGUCUGACCUCUCGGCUCCCCGGCAAGUGGGGUGACCAGAUAAUGUCAUUCCUGGAUGAAAGCUCCCCAUGGCCCCAUCUCCUUUAGAAGGAAAUCCAGAGGCCUGCACAAGCUGCCCUGCCUUCAAAACCCGUCUCCUCUGGGCCUUCAGAUGUGCAGCCACACCUGCAGCAGGCCUGUCAUCUCCCUGGGUGCUGCCUGGGAUAGUUCCCCUCCAGGCAGCCUCUUUUUUGUUUGAGGUCUCACACUCACAUUUCACUUACUCAGAGACUGUCUCUGGCCACCUGGAUGUCAUGGUCCUAACCUCUCCGACCCUUAGGCUUCUUAUCUUUAAAAUGGGGCUAGUAAAGUCUACUGUGAUGGUUAAUCUUAUAUGGGAACUUGGCUGAGCUACAGCACCCAGGUAUUUGGCUAAACAAUAUUCUGGAUGUUUCUGUGAGAUUGUUUUCAGAUGAGAUUAACAUUUACAUUGGUCGCCUUGGGGAAAGCAGAUUGCCCUCUGUGAAGUGGGUGGGCUGUAUCCAAUCAGUUGAAGGCACAGAUAGGCUAAAAGACUUUCCUCUCCUGAGCAAGAAGGCAUUCAACCAGCAGGCAGCCCACAACAUCAGCUCUUCCCUAGUCUCCAGGCUUCCAGCCCACCCUGCAGAGCUUGGACUUGCCCGCCUUUGUCGUAUAAGCAAAUUCCUUAAAAUAAACCUCUGUAUGUAUGUAUAAA